UACGGGGGGGCAAGCGUUGUUCGGAAUUACUGGGCGUAAAGGGCUCGUAGGCGGCCAACUAAGUCAGACGUGAAAUCCCUCGGCUUAACCGGGGAACUGCGUCUGAUACUGGAUGGCUUGAGUUUGGGAGAGGGAUGCGGAAUUCCAGGUGUAGCGGUGAAAUGCGUAGAUAUCGGAAGGAACACCAGUGGCGAAAGCGGCUCCUGGUCCAGCACCGACGUCAGGCACGAAAGCGUGGGGAGCAAACAGG
RNAcentral lists this ribosomal RNA (250 nucleotides) under uncultured bacterium. RNAcentral describes it as "partial 16S ribosomal RNA". It matches the Rfam family "Bacterial small subunit ribosomal RNA", at positions 524 to 776 of the family's 1533-position model. The record is from RNAcentral.